This 469-nucleotide ribosomal RNA is filed under the name uncultured bacterium. Its description in RNAcentral is "partial 16S ribosomal RNA". It matches the Rfam family "Bacterial small subunit ribosomal RNA", at positions 28 to 507 of the family's 1533-position model. The record is from RNAcentral.
GACGAACGCUGGCGGCGUGCUUAACACAUGCAAGUCGAACGGAAAGGCCCUGCUUGCAGGGUGCUCGAGUGGCGAACGGGUGAGUAACACGGGGGUGAUCUGCCCCUUACUUUGGGAUAAGCCUGGGAAACUGGGUCUAAUACUGGAUAGGACCAUGCUGUAGGGGGUGUGGUGGAAAGAUUAGUUUCGGUAAGGGAUGAGCUCGCGGCCUAUCAGCUUGUUGGUGGGGUAGUGGCCUACCAAGGCGUCGACGGGUAGCCGGCCUGAGAGGGUGGGCGGCCACAUUGGGACUGCGAUACGGCCCAGACUCCUACGGGAGGCAGCAGUGGGGAAUAUUGCACAAUAGGCGCAAGCCUGAUGCAGCGACGCCGCGUGGGGGAUGACGGCCUUCGGGUUGUAAACUCCUUUCAGCCAUGACGAAGCCCUUGUGGUGACGGUAGUGGUAGAAGAAGCACCGGCUAACUACGUG